UACGUAGGGGGCAAGCGUUGUCCGGAAUCAUUGGGCGUAAAGAGCGCGUAGGCGGCCCUGUAAGUCCGCUGUGAAAGUCAAGGGCUCAACCCUUGAAUGCCGGUGGAUACUGCAGGGCUAGAGUCCGGAAGAGGCGAGUGGAAUUCCUGGUGUAGCGGUGAAAUGCGCAGAUAUCAGGAGGAACACCGAUGGCGAAGGCAGCUCGCUGGGACGGCACUGACGCUGAGGCGCGAAAGCGUGGGGAGCAAACAGG
RNAcentral lists this ribosomal RNA (253 nucleotides) under uncultured bacterium. RNAcentral describes it as "partial 16S ribosomal RNA". It matches the Rfam family "Bacterial small subunit ribosomal RNA", at positions 524 to 776 of the family's 1533-position model. The record is from RNAcentral.